UCGUGGAAAACCUACUGAUCUAAAAGCGCGAGAAAUUAUUAUCCGGCAGUACCAUAAAGGGAAAACAAUGCAAGAAAUCUCCACUGAAUUAAAUGUUGCAACAACUACUAUAUUUAAUAUAAUUAAAAAAUAUGGUGAAACUGCCAGUAUUGGUGUUCGCCGCAAAAGUUCAGGACGUCCAAAAGUUGUUUCUCAAAGAAAUGUAAGAAACUUGAUUAAAAUUUGUAAGUCGGGAAGAAGAAAUACUCUACAAGAAGUAACUGCAAGGUGGAAUAGAGAAAGUGGGAUAAAUGUUUCCAGAGAAUGCUGCCACAAAUAUACCCACAAGAGCGGUCUUAGUUUUUAUAAGGCCAAAGAAAAACCAUUGUUAAUGGAGAUUCAAAAAAGGAAUCGUUACAUUUGGGCCAAAUCAAAACUUUCGUGGACCAAAGAAAAUUGGAGCAAAGUUAUUUAUAGCGACGAAAGGAAAUUUGAUGUCUUUGUCGGAGAUUAUCGAAAGCGUGUGAUUCGGGACAAAACAGAAGCAUUCCAUAAGGAUUGUCUUAAAAGGACUGUAAAGUUUCCACAGGGCAUCAUGGUGUGGGGUUGUAUGUCAGCUAAAGGGUUGGGAACAUUGCAUCUAUUAGGGAUUUGGGAGUUAUUUUUGAUGAGAAACUCACAUUUAUUGAUCAUAUUAAUUCAAUUUCUGUAAAAGCAUCAAAAUUGCUAGGGUUUGUUAUGAGAAACUGUUCAUAUUUCUCAGUCUCUUCAACAAGAAGGGUUUAUUGCUCCCUAGUAAGAACUAUAUUGGAGUACUGCUCUGUAGUUUGGUCUCCAUACCACCAGAUUCAUAUCGAUGCUUUAGAAAGAGUUCAACAUAAAUUCCUGAGAUAUUGUGUUCAUAGAACUUUAACUGUUAUUAUUGAGAACCAUGACUAUUCUUAUAUUGAAAGUCAAUUGUCUAUUCCGACACUGUCGCAACGCCGUAAUAUUUCUGGUGCUAGUUUUAUAUAUAAGAUCGUUAAUAGGCUUAUUGAUUGCCCUGAUCUGUUGGGUCGCAUACGAUUUAAUGUUCCUCAUCACGGGUUGCGCCAUAAUGUAACCUUUAACAUUCCAUUCCACAGAACAUCCUAUGGAAUUAAUAAUCCUAUGGAUAGGUAUAUGAAUUUGUUAAACAAUUCGAAUAUUGAUGUGUUUAACAUAAGUUCCUUAAUGCAUCUAAAGAGGUCACUUACUUCAUAAUUGUGCAUAAAAUUUUGUAUUUACAUUCUUGCAUAUAGAUUAUUAAGGUUGUUUCUAGUAUAUGUAGUAUAGGUGUUUUUUACUUUGGUAUUAAUUUUUUAAGUAGGUUUAGAUUAUCACAGUUGUUUAUGUAAAUAUUAUUGCUUUGUAAAAUUUACAGUUAAUGGGGUUUUCCCGUAUUAUAAAUAAAUAAAGCUGUCGAUAAAACAGAAUUUAGAGGACGCGAAGAUGGCUUUGAAUAAACAAAAGUAAGUAGUGCGUUGUCAACAAUACAAAUUUUGAUGCGUCACUUGACCAUUAAUAAUCAAUUACUGUCAUUUUUAUUACGAGUAACAUACAAUAAUGGCUCGUGGAAAACCUACUGAUCUAAAAGUGCGAGAAAUUAUUAUCCGGCAGUACCAUAAAGGGAAAACAAUGCGAGAAAUCUCCAGUGAAUUAAAUGUUGCAACAACUACUAUAUUUAAUAUAAUUAAAAAAUAUGGUGAAACUGCCAGCAGAGAAAAACAAACCACCGAGAAGCGACAAAACCCGCAUUUACCAUUGAUUUUCUGGGGUCCAAUUUUGGUGCCCUUGAACGGACUUAAAUGACUGGCGCUACAUAUUAAGUAACGGAGAAAAAUCGUUUUGGCAAUUUAAUAGUUUCGUACACGGAGAGAAAUACGACAAUUAAUAGAUUAAAAAUUUUAUUGGGAAUUUGAAAUCAAAACUAUUACAUUAUUUUACUAUUGGUAUAGUUAAGUUAUAAGUAUACCUAAACUAUACCGGGUGACACAGGAAAAAGAGAAAACACGCAACAACUUUUUUAUUUUUCAAGAUAAACAAAUGUAUGAAAAAAUAAACUGGGUGUCCUAUUUAAAAUAAGAAAGUUCGUGUCAUUUCCGGUUCAACCGGAAGUGAUCAAAAACAAUUGAAUACGUCAAAAUAUGCUUUUAAAACCAUUAAAUGAAACCAUUGAAAAAUAAAAAAGUUAUUGCGUGUUCCCUUUUUCCUGUGUCAUCCGGUAUAGUGCCAACUAUAAAAAUUACCAUUUAGGAUAAAUAAUGGAAAACAAAAAAUCUUCUAAAUAAACUUUUAUUUUUUGAGAGAAUAAUAUUGGCCCAUUGUAUAAUGACAAAAAUACAUUGGCAAUAAUUAAAUUAAACCUAGGUACAUUUAUACAUUCCGCAAAAUUUUUAGUUUUCGAACAUUUUUAUCUUUAUUUGUUUUUAAGACCCUAUUAUUAUAUUUAAUGGUAUAAAAUAUUUUCAUAAAUAUGAAUAAUUUUAAGGGUUUUUGGAAAAUGUGCACAAGGGUGUUCAUAAUUAAUAGUUUUCCACACCCUGUCUUUGAUGCCUUUGAAUCCACGAAAAGCACAGGUAUAAGGCAUAUUAUAAAAGUUUUUAAUAAAAUAAAGAGCACAAUGACAACACACACAAAAAUAAAGACAGAGAAAAAUUCAGGCAACACUUGACUAGACUAAACUAGGCGUCGAAUAUUACCGGACUAACCGACGGCUGGCAGGGGACCGGCAAUAAGACAAGUAUACCAAAUAAGCUCGCACAUGCGCAAGAAAAAUCGGUCCCGGCUUUGUCCCUUCUCGGUGGUUUGUUUUUCUCUGCUGCCAGUAUUGGUGUUCGCGGCAAAAGUUCAGGACGUCCAAAAGUUGUUUCUCAAAGAAAUGUAAGGAACUUGAUUAAAAUUUGUAAGUCUGGAAGAAGAAAUACUCUACAAGAAGUAACUGCAAGGUGGAAUAGAGAAAGUGGGAUAAAUGUUUCCAGAGAAUGCUGCCGCAAAUAUAUCCACAAGAGCGGUCUUAGUUUUUAUAAGGCCAAAGAAAAACCAUUGUUAAUGGAGACUCAAAAAAGGAAUCAUUACAUUUGGGCCAAAUCAAAACUUUUGUGGACCAAAGAAAAUUGGAGCAAAGUUAUUUAUAGCGACAAAAGCAAAUUUGAUGUCUGUGUCGGAGAUUAUCGAAAGCGUGUGAUUCGGGACAAAACAGAAGCAUUCCAUAAGGAUUGUCUUAAAAGGACUGUAAAGUUUCCACAGGGCAUCAUGGUGUGGGGUUGUAUGUCAGCUAAAGGGUUGGGAAUGUUACACUUUAUUGAUGGCAUAGUAAAUGCAGAAAAAUAUCAAGACAUUCUCAAACAUUCGCUUUUACCAAGUGCAGCAAAUUUAUAUCCAUCUGGAGAUUUUAUCUUUCAACAGGAUGGUGCCUCAUGUCAUACUGCUAAAUCUACCAAAAAAUGGAUGGGGAAACAUAAUAUUAAACAUUUGUCAUACCCCUCUAGCAGCCCGGAUCUCAAUCCAAUCGAAACACUUUGGCACAAAAUGAAGCAAGGCCUAAGAAAUAGUCCGCAGCGUACUUUGCCACAACUACGUGCUAAACUACAGGAAAUAUGGGAUAGUUUCACCCCUGAAUUUUGUGAAGGUCUAGUUGGUACAAUGCCUCAUAGUUCAGGCUGUUAUUCAAGCUAAGGGCGACGUUACGCCUUACUAAUUUGUAUUUUCCUUUUUUAAAACUCACUUGUUCCAAUAUUUAGUUGUCAGCAUUUUUCAUUCAUUUACCAAGUAAUUAAAUACUAAAUAACUUAAAAUAUAUAAAUAAAUUAUAAAAACAACAUUAAACAUUAUUAAAA
Molecule: long non-coding RNA, 3836 nt
Filed under: Anthonomus grandis grandis
Lineage: Eukaryota; Metazoa; Arthropoda; Insecta; Coleoptera; Curculionidae
Description: uncharacterized LOC126749920
Source: RNAcentral